GACGAACGCUGGCGGCGAGCUUAACACAUGCAAGUCGAACGGAAAGGCCCUGCUUUUGUGGGGUGCUCGAGUGGCGAACGGGUGAGUAACACGUGAGUAACCUGCCCUUGACUUUGGGAUAACUUCAGGAAACUGGGGCUAAUACCGGAUAGGAGCUCCUGCUGCAUGGUGGGGGUUGGAAAGUUUCGGCGGUUGGGGAUGGACUCGCGGCUUAUCAGCUUGUUGGUGGGGUAGUGGCUUACCAAGGCUUUGACGGGUAGCCGGCCUGAGAGGGUGACCGGCCAGAUUGGGACUGAGAUACGGCCCAGACUCCUACGGGGGGCAGCGGGGGGAAAUUUGGCACAGGGGGCGGAGGCGUGAGGCAGCACCGCCGGGGGGGGGAGGACGGCCUUCGGUUUGUACCCCGUUUUCGCCUGUGACGAGGGGGGGGUGAGGGUAAGGGAUAAAAAACCCCCGGCUAACUACGUC
This 468-nucleotide ribosomal RNA is filed under the name uncultured bacterium. RNAcentral's name for it is "partial 16S ribosomal RNA". It matches the Rfam family "Bacterial small subunit ribosomal RNA", at positions 28 to 507 of the family's 1533-position model. The record is from RNAcentral.